UACGAAGGGGGCUAGCGUUGUUCGGAAUUACUGGGCGUAAAGCGCACGUAGGCGGACAUUUAAGUCAGGGGUGAAAUCCCGGAGCUCAACUCCGGAACCGCCUUUGAUACUGGGUGUCUUGAGUAUGGAAGAGGUGAGAGGAAUUCCGAGUGUAGAGGUGAAAUUCGUAGAUAUUCGGAGGAACACCAGUGGCGAAGGCGGCUCACUGGUCCAUAACUGACGCUGAGGUGCGAAAGCGUGGGGAGCAAACAGG
Molecule: ribosomal RNA, 253 nt
Filed under: uncultured bacterium
Lineage: Bacteria
Description: partial 16S ribosomal RNA
Rfam family: Bacterial small subunit ribosomal RNA
Source: RNAcentral